GGAGAACGAGUAAACUGGCGAACGGGUGAGUAAUAUGUAAGUAACCUACCUUUAGGCAUGGGAUAACCCCGAGAAAUCGGGGCUAAUACUAUAUGAUGCAGCGGCACCGCAUGGUGAUGUUGUUAAAGCCUUCGGGCACCUAAAGAUGGGCUUGCCUCUGAUUAGCUAGUUGGUAGGGUAACGGCCUACCAAGGCAACGAUCAGUAGCUGGUCUGAGAGGAUGAUCAGCCACACUGGAACUGGGACACGGUCCAGACUCCUACGGGAGGCAGCAGUGAGGAAUAUUGGUCAAUGGGCGAAAGCCUGAACCAGCAACGCCGCGUGGAGGAUGAAUGCCGUAAGGUUGUAAACUCCUUUUAUAGGGGACGAAAAAUCCCGAUGAUCUCGGGACUUGACUGUACCCUUUGAAUAAGCCCCGGCUAACUACGUGCCAGCAGCCGCGGUAAUACGUAGGGGGCAAACGUUGUCCGGAUUUACUGGGUAUAAAGGGCGCGCAGGCG
This 500-nucleotide ribosomal RNA is filed under the name uncultured bacterium. RNAcentral's name for it is "bacterial SSU rRNA". It matches the Rfam family "Bacterial small subunit ribosomal RNA", at positions 81 to 577 of the family's 1533-position model. The record is from RNAcentral.